AUGAGCGCUGGCUACAGGCUUAACACAUGCAAGUCGAGGGGAAACGACGGGGAAGCUUGCUUCCCCGGGCGUCGACCGGCGCACGGGUGAGUAACGCGUAUCCAACCUGCCUCUGACUGAGGGAUAACCCGUCGAAAGUCGGCCUAAUACCUCAUGGCAUCGUCUGCGGGCAUCCAACGACGAUUAAAGAUUUCAUCGGUCAGGGAUGGGGAUGCGUCUGAUUAGCUUGUUGGCGGGGUAACGGCCCACCAAGGCUACGAUCAGUAGGGGUUCUGAGAGGAAGGUCCCCCACAUGGGAACUGAGACACGGUCCAAACUCCUACGGGAGGCAGAAGUGAGGAAUAUUGGUCAAUGGGCGGGAGCCUGAACCAGCCAAGUAGCGUGCAGGAGGACGGCCCUAUGGGUUGUAAACUGCUUUUAUGCGGGGAUAAAGUGAGGGACGUGUCCUUCAUUGCAGGUACCGCAUGAAUAAGGACCGGCUAAUUCCGUG
Molecule: ribosomal RNA, 490 nt
Filed under: uncultured bacterium
Lineage: Bacteria
Description: partial 16S ribosomal RNA
Rfam family: Bacterial small subunit ribosomal RNA
Source: RNAcentral